RNAcentral lists this ribosomal RNA (468 nucleotides) under uncultured bacterium. RNAcentral's name for it is "partial 16S ribosomal RNA". It matches the Rfam family "Bacterial small subunit ribosomal RNA", at positions 28 to 507 of the family's 1533-position model. The record is from RNAcentral.
GACGAACGCUGGCGGCGUGCUUAACACAUGCAAGUCGAACGGAAAGGCCCUGCUUUUGUGGGGUGCUCGAGUGGCGAACGGGUGAGUAACACGUGAGUAACCUGCCCUUGACUUUGGGAUAACUUCAGGAAACUGGGGCUAAUACCGGAUAGGAGCUCCUGCUGCAUGGUGGGGGUUGGAAAGUUUCGGCGGUUGGGGAUGGACUCGCGGCUUAUCAGCUUGUUGGUGGGGUAGUGGCUUACCAAGGCUUUGACGGGUAGCCGGCCUGAGAGGGUGACCGGCCACAUUGGGACUGAGAUACGGCCCAGACUCCUACGGGAGGCAGCAGUGGGGAAUAUUGCACAAUGGGCGGAAGCCUGGUGCAGCAACGCCGCGUGCGGGAUGACGGCCUUCGGGUUGUAAACCGCUUUCGCCUGUGACGAAGCGUGAGUGAUGGUAAUGGGUAAAGAAGCACCGGCUAACUACGUG